GCGGGGAUGGUGGAAUGGCAGACACGCUAGCUUGAGGGGCUAGUGGGAGCAAUCUCGUGAGGGUUCAAAUCCCUCUCUCCGCACCA
This 86-nucleotide transfer RNA is filed under the name Candidatus Omnitrophota bacterium. Its description in RNAcentral is "Candidatus Omnitrophica bacterium tRNA-Leu". It matches the Rfam family "tRNA". Rfam says of the family: Transfer RNA (tRNA) molecules are approximately 80 nucleotides in length. The record is from RNAcentral. Lineage: Bacteria; Pseudomonadati; Candidatus Omnitrophota.